Molecule: long non-coding RNA, 473 nt
Filed under: Olea europaea (common olive)
Lineage: Eukaryota; Viridiplantae; Streptophyta; Magnoliopsida; Lamiales; Oleaceae
Description: long non-coding RNA (OEUR_LNC001153)
Source: RNAcentral
CGAACAUGCUCGAGGACACCACAGAUGGAUUUACAACUUUACCAAAAUUAGUCCUCGGGAUAUACUGAUCGGGGAUAUUGUAAAAUGUCACCAUCAUAGGCCCCCGUGCAUAUAUGCUCGAAGAAAUGCUCGAGGAUAUGAUGCAAAGAGACUAGAAAUAAAAGCUCGAGUUUUAGCUCGGGGAUUUCUGAACACCUGUGCUUGAUCAAAAGGCUGACGCGUACUGACGUCAGCCCUAGAAUAGGAAAAGGCGGUAAAAAUUGGUAGGGUUAGAUGUGGGACACGUGUCCAGAUCUAACGGUCGAGGUAGUGACCUUUGGGCUUCCUGCUCCUGUUACCUAUAAAUACCCUCCCCUCAUUUCAUUUUUCACUUUUUACUCUCAGUAAACUUCUCUCGCUAAUCGUCGGGAUCGGACUUUGAGUUUUUAGACGUCGACUUUAAGGUAAGACCUCGAGUUUUUAAGUUAUUCUUU